This 219-nucleotide long non-coding RNA is filed under the name Mytilus galloprovincialis (Mediterranean mussel). Lineage: Eukaryota; Metazoa; Mollusca; Bivalvia; Mytilida; Mytilidae. The record is from RNAcentral.
ACUCGUUAAGUUUCCGCGGAAGGGAUGAACAUCGAGAUUAAGAUGCUUGGCAAUACAAAAUCCUUAUUGAUUAUAUGCAGAACAAACACUGAUCGGAGUUUUUCGGAAGAGUAUCCAAAAAUGUUCAAGGAGAAUCAAUCACCGGAAAAUAGAACCUUAGCGAUUUACCCAUUGCGAAGAUACUUCGAACCCAAGAGACAUUGUAAAAUUUUUCAGCAC